UCCCGAGCGUUNUCCGGAUUUAUUGGGCGUAAAGCGAGCGCAGGCGGUUAGAUAAGUCCGAAGUUAAAGGCUGUGGCUUAACCAUAGUACGCUUUGGAAACUGUUUAACUUGAGUGCAGAAGGGGAGAGUGGAAUUCCAUGUGUAGCGGUGAAAUGCGUAGAUAUAUGGAGGANCACCGGUGGCGAAAGCGGCUCUCUGGUCUGUAACUGACGCUGAGGCUCGAAAGCGUGGGGAGCGAACAGGAUUAGAUACCCUGGUAGUCCACGCCGUAAACGAUGAGUGCUAGGUGUUAGGCCCUUUCCGGGGCUUAGUGCCGCAGCUAACGCAUUAAGCACUCCGCCCGGGGAGUACGACCGCAAGGUUGAAACUCAAAGGAAUUGACGGGGGCCCGCACAAGCGGUGGAGCAUGUGGUUUAAUUCGAAGCAACGCGAAGAACCUUACCAGGUCUUGACAUCCCGAUGCCCGCUCUAGAGAUAGAGUUUUACUUCGGUACAUCGGUGACAGGUGGUGCAUGGUUGUCGUCAGCUCGUGUCGUGAGAUGUUGGGUUAAGUCCCGCAACGAGCGCAACCCUUAUUGUUAGUUGCCAUCAUUCAGUUGGGCACUCUAGCGAGACUGCCGGUAAUAAACCGGAGGAAGGUGGGGAUGACGUCAAAUCAUCAUGCCCCUUAUGACCUGGGCUACACACGUGCUACAAUGGCUGGUACAACGAGUCGCAAGUCGGUGACGGCAAGCUAAUCUCUUAAAGCCAGUCUCAGUUCGGAUUGUAGGCUGCAACUCGCCUACAUGAAGUCGGAAUCGCUAGUAAUCGCGGAUCAGCACGCCGCGGUGAAUACGUUCCCGGGCCUUGUACACACCGCCCGUCACACCACGAGAGUUUGUAACACCCGAAGUCGGUGAGGUAACCUUUUAGGAGC
Molecule: ribosomal RNA, 917 nt
Filed under: uncultured bacterium
Lineage: Bacteria
Description: bacterial SSU rRNA
Rfam family: Bacterial small subunit ribosomal RNA
Source: RNAcentral